This 595-nucleotide long non-coding RNA is filed under the name Homo sapiens (human). RNAcentral's name for it is "non-protein coding lnc-GNAI3-3:1". The record is from RNAcentral. Lineage: Eukaryota; Metazoa; Chordata; Mammalia; Primates; Hominidae.
AUGGGAGCCGGGACUGCUCAGCAAAGGUAGGAGUUGCCGACUAGGCCAGGAAUGGGGGCCAGACCCAGAGCCUGGUGGUGAGUGCCAAGGUAUCCCCACAGAAGGGUGGCUUUCCAAGGACCAGCCCUGCCUACAUUCCGAUGGAUUUAUGAGGAAACUGAAAUUCAGAAGAUUCACAGAGUUAGUAAUGCCCAGAACUGGGACUAGAAACUAAAUUUUGUGCUCCUUCUACUCCCCAGCAGCUCUUGCCAUUCUGAGGAGACAAGAAAUCAGGAAAUUUACAUAAGGAACCCUAAAACUGAGGCACUAUCCCAGAGAUCAGCAGGACCCUGGGAAGGAGAAACAGGAUUUAGAAUCCCCGGCUAACAGUUCUGGAAAGGGUAGAAGGGUAUGGAGAACAAGAAUGGCAGAAAGGAGAUGGAAAAGGAAGAGGUGAAGGCCAUUCCGAAAGCGGAGUGUUGAGUGGGUCAGGCUCCUGCACCUCUCACGUCUCCUGCUUCUUAGCAGUCACCAAGGCAGACCCUGCAGCUACCUCCGGCCAGAAAGGGGAUGAGCUUCUGAUCCUUCAGCUGCCUGGCCUGGCGCUCUGUACGCA